GGUGCUGUGGCUCAAGUGGUAGAGUGUUAGCCUUGAGCUGAAGAGCGGAGGGGCAGUGCCCAGGCCCAGAGUUCAGGCAUCAGGACUGACAAAAAAAAUAAAUAAUGCAUGAGACCCUGGGUUCAACUCUCAGUAUCACCA
Molecule: transfer RNA, 141 nt
Filed under: Dipodomys ordii (Ord's kangaroo rat)
Lineage: Eukaryota; Metazoa; Chordata; Mammalia; Rodentia; Heteromyidae
Rfam family: tRNA
About the family: Transfer RNA (tRNA) molecules are approximately 80 nucleotides in length. Their secondary structure includes four short double-helical elements and three loops (D, anti-codon, and T loops).
Source: Rfam by way of RNAcentral